UUGUUUAUUAAUAAUAAUAUCGUCUUAGUCAUUAUUUUAUAUUGUAUUUAAAAUGUUUACUUUCCCUUUUUUUCGCCACUCAUACAUAUACGAUUAUAUACAAUUUUAUGUACCUAAUAUCAGCAAUUAAAUAUAUGUUUGUAAUUUAAGAUAAACAUGUUGCAUGUACAUAUAUAUAUAUAUAUAUAUAUAUAUAUAUAUAUAUAUAUACACGUUUAAACAAGUGUGUUAUGUGUUAAUUGAAUUUGUUCAGUUCUAUACAUGUGUUACAAAGGAAGAGUUUCAGUAGUGCAUUUUUCAUAUGAAAAAAAAAAAAAAAAAAAAAAAAAUUGACACGUAAUAUGUGAUUAAAUAAUGUUGAUUAAUGUUUAACAAAGCAAAAGUAUAACUGAUUAAACGUGUUAACAUGUAAACAUAUGCAUAUCUUGCAUAUGUAUAUCUAUUCAUAUGUAUAUGUUUUAUUUAUUUAUUAAUUUAUUUAUUUAUUUAUUUAAUUUUUUUUUAAUUUAAUUUUAGCAAAAAUAGUAUAAAUCAUUUCCUAAGUAUUUUUUACUCUUAUCAUUAUAAAAUCGAAUAAUAUGAAAAAACAUAUUGGAGUAAUACGAAAUUUAUAUGUAUGAAUAUCCUAUGAUUUAUUAGUUUUGUAAUUUCUACUAAUUUAGCUUCAUGGAUUAUUCAGAGUUUGAUGAAGAUGAUGAAGAUUUAUAUGAAGGACUAGAAGCGGACCAAGUGGACACUUUUGAAAAAAAGGAUGUUGAAAAAAAACAAGAUGUUGAAAAAAAACAGGAUGUUGAAAAGAAAAAGGAGGUUGAGCAAACUAUUAAACCAAAAGAAAUAUUUUUUGAAAAAUCCAGAAAAAGUUUAUACAAGAAGUUAAGUUCUUCGAAGAUAACAUAUACCAAAAAAGAGCCGUGUUUGUUUUUGGGAGCACCCCAGGCAACUGAACAGCCCGAAACGGAAGAGAGUAACAACGAAUUUUUAUUGUUGUUAAAUUUGUUAUAUUACAUGAAUGAUUUGUUAAUAAAAAAACAUUGUGAACAAAUUGGGAAAGUUAAAAGAGUAGAAAUAUUAGAAGAUGAAAACACAUGUAAAUCAAUAGGUAUGUGUCUAGUUGAAUUUUAUUUUUUAGAUCACUCACAAAAUUACGUAGGUUAUCUAAAAGAAAAAUUAAGAGUAGAUGUUAAAACAUUAGAUAGUGAUAUAGAAGAACAAAUAAAAGCAGAUAAGUUAUAUAAUUAUGGAGGAUAUUUAAAUUAUAAUAUUAUUGAGUUAAUUAAAAAAAAAUAUUUAGAUUAUUCACAUGUCAAUGAAAACACACAAGAACUAUUAAACAAACCUUUGAGUUUAAAUAAACACCCCUUAUUUACAUGGUUUAAUACGAAUUUAAGUGAUGUUUUAAAUACUUAUGUAAAAACAAAAAUGAAAAAAAAUAAAAAAAAUAAAAUGAACACAGCUAAUGAUUACUCUAAUUUUCAAAUUAAUGAUAAUUCAGACUCGGAUAGUGACAUAUCGUCUCAUGUUAUUGAUUAUGUUUCCAGAAAAAAUAAAGCUCUUUCUGCAAAUAAAAUGUCAUAGCUAUUUAAGCAAUUUAAUUUUUUUUUUUUUUUUUUUUUUUACGUUCUUUCAUAGUAUACUCUAUAUAUCACAUUUUAUAGAAAUCGACCCCUUGUAAUUAUAUGCUAUAACAUAACAUCGUGUUAUGCUUUUCACUGCAUUAUAUAUGUCACAUAUUUUUGUUCUUACAAUGUUGGUUUUUUUUUUUUUUUUUAAAACUGUAACAUAGCUAAGUUGAAUUUUUAAAAUAGUUUUAUAUUGUUGUUAGAGCACAUUUUUUUUUUUUUUUUAAGAAAGACUGUUUAAUAAAUUAUGCAAGCUGUCUAUAGCCUAAUUACA
Long non-coding RNA from Piliocolobus tephrosceles (Ugandan red Colobus), 1893 nucleotides. The record is from Ensembl. NCBI's taxonomy places the organism in Eukaryota, Metazoa, Chordata, Mammalia, Primates, Cercopithecidae.